This 460-nucleotide ribosomal RNA is filed under the name uncultured bacterium. RNAcentral describes it as "partial 16S ribosomal RNA". It matches the Rfam family "Bacterial small subunit ribosomal RNA", at positions 338 to 795 of the family's 1533-position model. The record is from RNAcentral.
CCUACGGGAGGCAGCAGUGAGGAAUAUUGGUCAAUGGACGGAAGUCUGAACCAGCCAUGCCGCGUGCAGGAUGACGGCUCUAUGAGUUGUAAACUGCUUUUGUACGAGAACAAUAGUUCUUACGUGUAGGGAUUGGAAUGUAUCGUACGAAUAAGGAUCGGCUAACUCCGUGCCCGCAGCCGCGGUAAAACGGAGGGUUCGAGCGUUAUCCGGAUUUAGUGGGUUUAAAGGGUGCGUAGGCUGUCGGUUAAGUUAGAGGUAAAAAGUCGGGGGUUAACCCCGUGCCUGCCUCUGAUACUGUUCAACUAGAGAGCGGAUGAAGCAGGCGGAAUGAGUAGUGUAGCGGUGAAAUGCUUAGAUAUUACUCAGAACACCGAUUGCGCAGGCAGCUUGCUAAUCCGCAUCUGACGCUGAUGCACGAAAGCGUGGGUAGCGAACAGGAUUAGAUACCCUUGUAGUC